This 504-nucleotide ribosomal RNA is filed under the name uncultured fungus. Its description in RNAcentral is "SSU rRNA". It matches the Rfam family "Eukaryotic small subunit ribosomal RNA", at positions 248 to 755 of the family's 1831-position model. The record is from RNAcentral. Lineage: Eukaryota; Fungi.
GAUUCAUAAUAACUUUUCGAAUCGCAUGGCCUUGCGCCGGCGAUGGUUCAUUCAAAUUUCUUCCCUAUCAACUUUCGAUGUUUGGGUAUUGGCCAAACAUGGUCGCAACGGGUAACGGAGGGUUAGGGCUCGACCCCGGAGAAGGAGCCUGAGAAACGGCUACUACAUCCAAGGAAGGCAGCAGGCGCGCAAAUUACCCAAUCCCGAUUCGGGGAGGUAGUGACAAUAAAUACUGAUACAGGGCUCUUUUGGGUCUUGUAAUUGGAAUGAGUACAAUUUAAAUCCCUUAACGAGGAACAAUUGGAGGGCAAGUCUGGUGCCAGCAGCCGCGGUAAUUCCAGCUCCAAUAGCGUAUAUUAAAGUUGUUGUGGUUAAAAAGCUCGUAGUUGAACCUUGGGCCUGGCUGGCCGGUCCGCCUCACCGCGUGCACUGUGCCGGCCGGGCCUUUCCCUCUGUGGAACCUCAUGCCCUUCACUGGGUGUGGCGGGGAACCAGGACUUUUAC